AUAUUGCGGGCUAAUGGGCAUCCUAAUUCCUGGAUAACUUCAGACUCGGAUUCUCUGCGAAACGCCUCUCAUUUGUGCCCUGUACACAGCAGAUGCUCCAUCCGUGGGCAUUUUGGUAGUAGGUGGAUAAUUUCCUGGAAACAAAGCAAGUUCUUCGUGUUCUUGAGAGGUCCUGAUCUCGGAGUCCUGGGAUAGAAGACCACAUUGGACUCCAAGCUCAGUGUGGAGUCUGCUGGAUUCUCUCCCUCUCCCUCCGACCCUCCCCCCAAUCAUGCACUCUCUCAC
RNAcentral lists this long non-coding RNA (285 nucleotides) under Mustela putorius furo (domestic ferret). RNAcentral's name for it is "lncRNA (ENSMPUG00000026706.1)". The record is from RNAcentral. Lineage: Eukaryota; Metazoa; Chordata; Mammalia; Carnivora; Mustelidae.